UCCCUGGUUGCUCAGAGGUUAAAGCGUCUGCCUGCAGUGCAGGAGACCCAGGUUCGAUCCCUGGGUCGGGAA
This 72-nucleotide transfer RNA is filed under the name Ovis aries (sheep). It matches the Rfam family "tRNA". Rfam says of the family: Transfer RNA (tRNA) molecules are approximately 80 nucleotides in length. Their secondary structure includes four short double-helical elements and three loops (D, anti-codon, and T loops). Lineage: Eukaryota; Metazoa; Chordata; Mammalia; Artiodactyla; Bovidae. The record is from Rfam by way of RNAcentral.